UUCUACUGCCUGUCACCUGUUAUGUGCCCGACCUCAUCAGAUCUUGGAAGCUUAGCAAAGUUGAGCCUGGAUAGUGCUUAGAUGGGCGAUUACUAUGAACAACAGGUGUCAUCGGCAGUGGAGC
RNAcentral lists this ribosomal RNA (124 nucleotides) under Petromyzon marinus (sea lamprey). The record is from RNAcentral. Lineage: Eukaryota; Metazoa; Chordata; Hyperoartia; Petromyzontiformes; Petromyzontidae.